Molecule: ribosomal RNA, 119 nt
Filed under: Carassius auratus (goldfish)
Lineage: Eukaryota; Metazoa; Chordata; Actinopteri; Cypriniformes; Cyprinidae
Source: RNAcentral
GCUUACGGCCACACCAACCUGGCUAUGCCCGAUCUCGUCUGAUUCUCGGAAGCUAAGCAGGUUUGGGCCUGGUUAGUACUUGGAUGGAGACCGCCUUGGAAUACCAGGUGCUGUAAGCU